AAAACAGGGGUGCCGAAAGGCUGAGAGCUGUUAUUGCAGUAACCCUUUAACCUGAUCCGGAUAAUGCCGGCGUAGGAAGUUUAAUAUA
RNAcentral lists this non-coding RNA (88 nucleotides) under Pygmaiobacter massiliensis. RNAcentral's name for it is "TPP riboswitch (THI element)". It matches the Rfam family "TPP riboswitch aptamer (THI element)", at positions 6 to 98 of the family's 105-position model. From Rfam's summary of the family: Vitamin B(1) in its active form thiamin pyrophosphate (TPP) is an essential coenzyme that is synthesised by coupling of pyrimidine and thiazole moieties in bacteria. The previously detected thiamin-regulatory element, thi box was extended, resulting in a new, highly conserved RNA secondary structure, the THI element, which is widely distributed in eubacteria and also occurs in some archaea. Analysis of operon structures identified a large number of new candidate thiamin-regulated genes, mostly transporters, in various prokaryotic organisms. The record is from RNAcentral. Lineage: Bacteria; Bacillati; Bacillota; Clostridia; Eubacteriales; Oscillospiraceae.